This 210-nucleotide ribosomal RNA is filed under the name Cladosporium pseudocladosporioides. RNAcentral's name for it is "partial 28S ribosomal RNA". It matches the Rfam family "Eukaryotic large subunit ribosomal RNA", at positions 1 to 208 of the family's 3401-position model. The record is from RNAcentral. Lineage: Eukaryota; Fungi; Ascomycota; Dothideomycetes; Cladosporiales; Cladosporiaceae.
GUUGACCUCGGAUCAGGUAGGGAUACCCGCUGAACUUAAGCAUAUCAAUAAGCGGAGGAAAAGAAACCAACAGGGAUUGCUCUAGUAACGGCGAGUGAAGCAGCAAUAGCUCAAAUUUGAAAUCUGGCGUCUUCGACGUCCGAGUUGUAAUUUGUAGAGGAUGCUUCUGAGUAACCACCGACCUAAGUUCCUUGGAACAGGACGUCAUAG